Molecule: transfer RNA, 68 nt
Filed under: Marmota monax (woodchuck)
Lineage: Eukaryota; Metazoa; Chordata; Mammalia; Rodentia; Sciuridae
Description: tRNA.Ala
Source: RNAcentral
GGGUUGUGGCUCAGCGGUAGAGUACUCGUCUAGCAUUUGUGAGGCCCUGGGUUUGAUCCUCAGCUCCA